CGGGGUGUGGCGCAGCUUGGUAGCGCGCGUCGUUCGGGACGACGAGGUCGCAGGUUCAAAUCCUGUCACCCCGACCA
Molecule: transfer RNA, 77 nt
Filed under: Micrococcus luteus
Lineage: Bacteria; Bacillati; Actinomycetota; Actinomycetes; Micrococcales; Micrococcaceae
Also listed under: 222 other names
Description: tRNA-Pro
Rfam family: tRNA
About the family: Transfer RNA (tRNA) molecules are approximately 80 nucleotides in length. Their secondary structure includes four short double-helical elements and three loops (D, anti-codon, and T loops).
Source: RNAcentral